Molecule: non-coding RNA, 30 nt
Filed under: Homo sapiens (human)
Lineage: Eukaryota; Metazoa; Chordata; Mammalia; Primates; Hominidae
Source: RNAcentral
UGGAUUUGAGGCUUCCUAAGAUGUGCUUGC